This 484-nucleotide ribosomal RNA is filed under the name uncultured bacterium. Its description in RNAcentral is "bacterial SSU rRNA". It matches the Rfam family "Bacterial small subunit ribosomal RNA", at positions 8 to 518 of the family's 1533-position model. The record is from RNAcentral.
AGAGUUUGAUUCUGGCUCAGAUUGAACGCUGGCGGCAGGCCUAAUACAUGCAAGUCGAACGGUAACAUAGGAAAAGCUUGCUUUCCUGAUGACGAGUGGCGGACGGGUGAGUAAAGUUGGGAAGCUACCUGAUAGAGGGGGACAACAGUUGGAAACGACUGCUAAUACCGCAUACAGCCUGAGGGUGAAAGCAGCAAUGCGCUAUCAGAUGCGCCCAAAUGGGAUUAGCUAGUAGGUGAGGUAAAGGCUCACCUAGGCGACGAUCUCUAGCUGGUCUGAGAGGAUGAUCAGCCACAUUGGGACUGAGACACGGCCCAGACUCCUACGGGAGGCAGCAGUAGGGAAUAUUGCACAAUGGAGGAAACUCUGAUGCAGCCAUGCCGCGUGUGUGAAGAAGGCCUUCGGGUUGUAAAGCACUUUCGGAGGGGAGGAGAAUGACGUUACCCUCAGAAGAAGCACCGGCUAACUCCGUGCCAGCAGCCGC